GACGAACGCUGGCGGCGUGCUUAACACAUGCAAGUCGAACGGAAAGGCCCUGCUUUUGUGGGGUGCUCGAGUGGCGAACGGGUGAGUAACACGUGAGUAACCUGCCCUUGACUUUGGGAUAACUUCAGGAAACUGGGGCUAAUACCGGAUAGGAGCUCCUGCUGCAUGGUGGGGGUUGGAAAGUUUCGGCGGUUGGGGAUGGACUCGCGGCUUAUCAGCUUGUUGGUGGGGUAGUGGCUUACCAAGGCUUUGACGGGUAGCCGGCCUGAGAGGGUGACCGGCCACAUUGGGACUGAGAUACGGCCCAGACUCCUACGGGAGGCAGCAGUGGGGAAUAUGGCACAAUGGGCGGAAGCCUGAUGCAGCAACGCCGCGUGCGGGAUGACGGCCUUCGGGUUGGAAACCGCUUUCGCCUGUGACGAAGCGUGAGUGACGGGAAUGGGUAAAGAAGCACCGGCGAACUACGU
This 467-nucleotide ribosomal RNA is filed under the name uncultured bacterium. Its description in RNAcentral is "partial 16S ribosomal RNA". It matches the Rfam family "Bacterial small subunit ribosomal RNA", at positions 28 to 506 of the family's 1533-position model. The record is from RNAcentral.